Molecule: long non-coding RNA, 2063 nt
Organism: Topomyia yanbarensis
Lineage: Eukaryota; Metazoa; Arthropoda; Insecta; Diptera; Culicidae
Exons: 6
Source: RefSeq, a predicted model, not a curated record
UCCAGUACCAGGAGAAACUGGAAGUACUCCGGAGCAAACAGGGAGAAAAUCGUUCCUGUAUUAUCUUCUUUUCUUUUUCAUCUUCUGGUAGCAAAUCGGAGUGAAAAGGAGCAAGAAUUUUUUGCUCCGGAGCAACAGGGAGUGACUUCCGUGUACUGGAACAAACCUAUUGAUCACAAAUGGCAACCCGGAAUAACAAACUGCAAAAUAUUGCAGACUGGUGAUCGGAAAAGGUUCCAAGGAAGCCAAUGAGGAGCAAAACGCGGCAUACAAUGCAUUGACUCAACUGGCUAUCGCUUGUCCGACUGUGAAUAGCGAUCUCCAACUCGUUUCUUCCUAUUUUGAUCAUCUGUCACAGGAACCGGUCGAAUUACAUACCCUGAUAAGAGACGCCUAGAUAUAGCAUCAUCAAUAUCAUCAAACAAUGCCCAUCGAUCGAUGCUUCAAUCGGACUCUAUCAAAACGUUAGUAUAAUAAGUUCUACCAUUAAACUGCUGCAUAGCUCGGAACCAUCUCCUGAAGGCACCGAGGAAAUGGAGACUAAUCAUGGUGAUGUAAACACGAAAGCUAUGUCCCUCAUAGCACUUCUGCAGUGAUCACGCCAAAGCUACAAUCCGAGAGGAUGUCACUCAUUGAUUGGGCUAUCUGGUUAUUAUUGAUGAGAAUUUUUUUGCUAAAUGCUACUUGAGGUUCUUCUGGUUCUGUUGAAGAUGACCAAGAAUGUGCACUGCAUAUUGCCAUGGUUUAAAUUAUUCAAUCGUGUGGAGAGUGACAAGCGGAUCAGGAUUCGAUAGGAAAUAUUAACGAUUAAAUGCUUAUCUAAAACGCUUGUGCCAUCUGGUUGUUGGCGAUAAUUAUUGAUUUGCUCUCGAAGGAUAAUGGAACUUUUGCAUCACGUGGUUUGGGAAUAGUGCGCUCAAUUUCCAUGAAUAACAAUAAGGAAAAACUGUCCAAUUAGUUGUUGGUCAACUAGUUGGUGGUAGACAUGUGCAGAAAGAAGAAACUAAGCUUGUCGAGAAAGGCAUACUGAGGACGGCACCGAGCGACGAGGAAUUGUGAAAAUUAUCCAUUAGAAGAAGGCGGCAGAGAAUAAUAUCGAAAUACUACCUUGUCCUAAAACAAGGUGUAAACCGACAAGCAUAGUUUCUUAGAAAAUACAUUUUGCACCCUGAUUACAUGACAGAUGGACGAAACAGCGGAAAAAGCCACAGAUCCCGGUUUUACUGUAAAAGCAGCAGUUUUACUUGCAUACUCUGAAAGCGAUAGAAUGUAUAACGAUUCUUGCAUUCGAAGCUAAGAAACAUCGAUUAUUUUUAUACUUGCAUUGCGUUGCAAAAAGGAAUGUUUGGUGCAAGAAGGGUACACCGGCAGUUAAAAAAGAUCUGAAAGCCGUUGACGCCGACAGGAUGGUGCUAAUAUGUACAGAAUAACAAAGGCAUCAGACAAAAAAAAUAACAAAGGCAGUAACAGCGGUGCCUUACAUUACGACGAAAUUAGCAACCGUACGAAAAGGUCAUAUCUUUCCGCACUGAAGACUAAAAACAACUUUGAGUUCGAUACUGAUCACGGGUAUCUGACAUCAAGUAGUUACAGCAGACCAGUUGAAUCAGUCCAGCUGCCGAUCGAGUAACAUUAACAUCAUACAUGCUGAUCGAGUUUGUUGAGGAAUUGCGCGCAUCUUUUUCAGACGGUAUUUGGCUCUUUCUAGUAUAUCCAAGAUGAAACACCAAUCAGCAUCAUGAUCGCAGUCUCCACGGUGUUCUCGAACGUAAGCACCAUACUACGACCCGUUACAACAGAUCAUUGAGUUGAUUGCAUCGUUGCAUCGUAUGUUACAUUGGCAACAUAUGGAUAUCAUCGGUACAGAACGUAUUGGCAAAUUUAUUUGAAUCAAACAUGGUCCGAGAAUGUCUCACCAAUCUUGGAAUUCAAACAAGCGGAAGAAAGGAAUUGUGCCAUGCAACUCCCGCCCGGUUACUUAAUUUGUAAAAUGCAAGAAUCGAUCUAUGAAAAGUACCCAACAUAUCACUGUAUCCGGAUAUAUCAUGUCAUUACUGCUUGUG